CAAGGCUUGACAUAUACGAGAACGGGCCAGAAAUGGUCAACUCUUUGGACACUCGUAAACAGGUGGUGCAUGGUUGUCGUCAGCUCGUGUCGUGAGAUGUUGGGUUAAGUCCCGCAACGAGCGCAACCCUCGUUCUAUGUUGCCAGCACGUAAUGGUGGGAACUCAUGGGAUACUGCCGGGGUCAACUCGGAGGAAGGUGGGGAUGACGUCAAAUCAUCAUGCCCCUUAUGUCUUGGGCUUCACGCAUGCUACAAUGGCCGGUACAAAGGGCUGCAAUACCGUAAGGUGGAGCGAAUCCCAAAAAGCCGGUCCCAGUUCGGAUUGAGGUCUGCAACUCGACCUCAUGAAGUCGGAGUCGCUAGUAAUCGCAGAUCAGCAACGCCGCGGUGAAUA
Molecule: ribosomal RNA, 394 nt
Filed under: uncultured bacterium
Lineage: Bacteria
Description: bacterial SSU rRNA
Rfam family: Bacterial small subunit ribosomal RNA
Source: RNAcentral